UCCCAGAUGAGCAUUGGUGGUCCGGUGUGCGGGCUUCAAAUCCGUAGCUGAUGAUACAGUCAGAGUGGUUCGAUUCCACCUUCUGGGCG
This is a non-coding RNA of Trichonephila inaurata madagascariensis, 89 nucleotides long. The record is from the annotation of a GenBank genome assembly. NCBI's taxonomy places the organism in Eukaryota, Metazoa, Arthropoda, Arachnida, Araneae, Nephilidae.